RNAcentral lists this long non-coding RNA (4962 nucleotides) under Ananas comosus (pineapple). RNAcentral describes it as "long non-coding RNA (ACOM_LNC013083)". Lineage: Eukaryota; Viridiplantae; Streptophyta; Magnoliopsida; Poales; Bromeliaceae. The record is from RNAcentral.
UCCACUAUAUAUUAGUUUUAGGCGUACAACAAGGCUCACUUUUAUUCGCAUAAUCGACGCAUAUACGAACUGCACGAACUCUAUAUGCCGUACAAUAGUAUACAUGCAUGUAUACGUACGUACGUAGCACUACUACAAUACAAGGUGAAGGUGCUUAUUAUUUCGUGCUAAAUACAAAAUAGUCUCUAAUACAUGCAUAUAUCUUUCUUACUUUACCCAUGGCCCCCACCAGACCCAUAUCCAGACCCAUAUCCGGAUCCGUAACCCGAACCUCAUCCGCUCCCUCCGACCCCGUACCCGGACCCACCGCCUUCCCCGCCUCCUCCGCCACUCCCAUAACCGCCGCCUCCCAGCCCUCCACCCGAACCGUAACCCGACCCAUAGCCAGAACCAUAACCAGAACCGAUACCGCCUGACCCGUACCCAGAACCGCCGCCGCCGCCACCGCCGCCACCCCUCCCGUAACCUCCCCCUCCAAUUCCUUCGCCUUCACCGUAUCCCGACCCUUCACCAUAACCAUAACCAGCGCCUAACCCAGAACCGCCACCACUGCCAGAACCGCCGCCGCCGCCAGCUCCAUAACCCUGGAGAAGCACGCGACCGGCAGCGGCAAAAUCUCCGAAGAGUAGUACUAAAAUGAGUGCAGCAACAACAACUACAACUCUUGAACUCGCCAUGUUUGAUUGUAGCUGAUAUGCCCUUUACUCCUCGAGCUAUAUAUGUAGUAGAAACAAAUGAGGAGCAUGGGGUGUAUAUAUAGUUGUGUGCAUGUAGUAGUACAUUAUUUCAAUUUUGAACGUGGGUGAUUGGAGAACGUACGUAUAAGGGCACUAAACAAGUGGUGGGGCCCGGGGGAUUGAUCACUUAGAGGUUGAGGAUCCACGUGUCAGUAGUUGACCAAGGGAAGGAGAAGCGCUGUUGACUUUUGCGUCGCUCGUAGUGCGUGCGCGUGGUGCUCCCGCAUAAUAAUUAGUAAGUUGUGGUGUAAAAUGUAUCCGCGUCUAAUGAAAGUGGGGUGGUUGGAGCCUCACUUGGGGCCAAAGAUAGUGUUUCUAUCAAAUCAGGAUUCAGUGACACGCGUCUCAUUGUAAUAUUCCAAUAUCUAAGCGGUCGAAGAAUAUUUUGUGGGACUUUUAAAGCAAAAUUAAGAGUUAAGCCUCCGUUUGGUUCGGGGUUAAGAAAAAAAUAGUUAUUUCAGAAAUAGAAUUAAGUUCAGGAUUAAAAUGGGGUUAAAAUUUUUUUGUGUUUGGUUGGGGGUUGGAGUUAGUCUAGAAUUAUUGAAAAAUAGUGUUUGGUUGGAGUAGGUAGGAUAAAAAGAUAAUGAUUGAUAAAGAAGAAUAAUGAUUGGUUGGAGUAGGUGUGAUAAGAAAGAUAGUGAGUUAUUAUGAAUAUAAAAUAGUGUUUGGUUGGAGUUUGAUAGGGUUAGGUAGAGUGAGCUAACCCGGAAUAAUUUAUUUGAGAUAGAAUUAGCUACCCCCACCCAUUUUUUAGAAUGUUUGGGGAUAAAAUGGGGGUUAAGGGGUGGAAUGGGUUAUUCCACCCCUUAAACCCCAACCAAACAAGGGCUAAGAGUAUUUCACAUUAAAUUUAUAUUGGGCGUCACAGGCUCCCAGUUUGCUUGAUAAGAGCAUUUUAUUGGUGCUAUAUAUAUUAUUAAGUCCUUUUUGUACAAUAUUUUUUUUAUCCAAUUUGGAACUAUCAAAAGUGAGAUUGUAUACGGUAAAUAGCCAAUUUUCCAUAAAAACUUCAAUAAUUUUAGAGAAUGCUCUUUUACUUUUAUCUAAAUUGAGUUAAUUACCUUUGGAUGCCGAGUGAUUUUCCUUCAUAGUGAUUAUACUGAAGUAUAUGGACUGCGCGCGCGCGCACACGCACACACACAUAUAUAUAUAUACAUAUAUAUAUAUAUAUACAUAUAUAUAUAUAUAUAUGGCUGCUGUGCUCUUAGGAGUACGGAGGCCUCCGUACUCCUGAGCCGUUUUCGAUGAUGGAAUUUUCGAAUCGACGAUCGGCUCCGUUAGACUUGAUCUAGCCUAUUUGAAGUUUCUAGAAAAUAUUUUUUGCGAUUUUUUGAUAUAAUUUACCUAGUGAUCGAAAGGAUUCAAAAUAUAUAAUUUUUAAUGGUUGAUAUCUGCCGUUUUCAAGUUUAACGGUGUAGAAGUAUUCAAAUCAGAUGAAAUUUUGAUACAAAAUUCUUUAUACUAUCUACAACAAGAUCAAUAUUUCUGAUCGAAAAUUUUAGUGCUAUAUCACCAUUUUUUAUAGGAUUUUUAUUUACAGCCGUUAAAAAUUAUUGAUUUUGAAUCCUUUCGAUUGCUAGGUAAAUAAUAUCAAAAAAUCGCACAAAUUAUUUUCUAGAAACUUCAAAUAUGCUAGAUCAAGUUUAACGGAACCGAUCGUCGAUUCGAAAAUUCCAUCAUCGAAAACGGCUCAGGAGCACGGAGACCUCCGUACUCCUGAGAGCACAGCAGUCCAGCUCUCUCUCUCUUUCUCUCUCUCUCUCUCUUUCUAUAUAUAUAUAUAUAUAUAUAUAUAUAAUUGAGCUAGAAUACUUUUAAAAGUAUCACCCCAUUGGUGCUUUUAGGUUUAAUUUCUAGGCCUUGGAUCUACUUCUUAAUUACUAAUAACCAUUGGAUCAAACACUAUUCCACCUACCACCACCUACCACCAUCAUCACAACCUUACAUUCCUCCAUCCAAUGGUUAAAACUCAAAAGCACCACCUCAUUGAUACUUUUGAGAGUAUUCUAGCUCAAUUAUAUAUAUAUAUAUAAUACUUUUAGAAGCACCAACCCCUUGGUGCAACCCUUUAGUGCUUCUAAGUUUUUAACCUUUAGAUCUACUCCUUAAUUACUAAUAGCCUUUGGAUCAAACACUAUUCUACCUACCAUCACCUACCACUAUCAUCUCAACCUCAUAUCUCUCCAACCAAUGGCUAAAAACUCAAAAGCACCACCUUCAUGGUAUUUUUGAGAGUGUUCUAGCUCAACUCUCUCUCUCUCUCUCUCUCUCUCUCUCUCUCUAUAUAUAUAUAUAUAUAUAUAGAGUUGCGCUAGAAUACUAUCGAUAGCAAACGGUCUCCGUUGCCACCCAUUUGUUUUCGAUGAUAGAGCCUCCAAAUCGACGAUCGGUAUCAUUGAACAUGAUCUAUACCAUUUGAAGUGUUUAGAAAUCAAAAUUCAAAUCUUUUCAAUAUUAUUUGCCUAAUGAUCAAAGGGUUUAAAAUUUAUAAUUUUAAUGGUCGAUAUGAGGUGUUUUCUCGUUUAACGGUGUAGAGAUAUCCAAAUCAAUUGAUUUUUUGUUAGAAAAUUCUUUAAACUAUUUAAAAUAAGAUCUAUACCCUUGAUCUUGAAUACAAGACUCCUAUCAUUAUUUUUUAAAGAAUAUUUAUUUUCAGCCGUUCAUUUUUGCGUCCACUCGAUGGAUAAGAGAACAAUAUCGAAAAUGUAUGAAAUUUGAUUUCUAAACACUUCAAGUGGUAUAGAUCAUGUUCAACGGUGCCGAUCGUCGAUUUAAAGGCUCCAUCAUCGAAAAUAAAUGGGUGGCAACGAAGCCCGUUUGCUACCGAUAGUAUUCUAGCUCAAUUAUAUAUAUAUAUNCUAAAAUAUAAAUUUUUCUAUUUAAUUUCAAAAGUAAGUUCUCUAUAACAGAUUACAGGUGUGAAAAUUCUAUAAAAGAUAUUUUCCUAUUUUAUUUUAAAAUAUCUUUUUUAGAUAUUAUCUAUUUAAUUUCAAAAUAUAUUUUCUUUUUAAGAUAACGGAUUUUAUUUUUCUAUUUAAUUUCAAAAAUUUAUUUCCUAACAGAUUUUAUUUUUCUAUUUAAUUUCAAAAGUAAUUUUUGCGUUAAAGAUUAUUGUUAAUUAUUUAUCAUUUAAAGCAUAUCUUUCUUAAUAGCGUGAUUUAUUAUCUUAAAUUUUUUAGAUGGCAAUCAUAUAAAAUAUGGUCCAAAAUUAAAAAAUAAUUUAAAAAAAUUAUAAAUUUUUCUAAUAAUUAUUACGUGUAUUUGCACGUACAUUUUACUAGUAUAUAUAUAUAUAUAUAGGCUACUAUACUAUCUAUAGUACCGGAGCUCCGGUACUAUAGUCUUAUUUUCGAUCAUAGGGUAUUCAAAUUAACGAUCCACACCGUUAAAUAUGAUCUGGGGUAUAUGAAGUUCUUAGGAAUAAAAUUUUAGUUUUUUUCGACAUCGUUUACUUAGUAAAUAAAUUAUGUCAAAAUGGAUGGUGGAAAUUGAAUAAUCUUUAAAAUUUGAGCAUAUGAUUUUUAAAUUCAAGAUAAAAAAUGUUAACCUUAAUCUAGAUAGUUUAAAGUAUUUUCUAUCAAAAUUUGAAGAAAUUUAGAUUCUUCUACACUGUUAAACUCCAAACUCGCCAUAGUAGUCAUUGAAAAUUGACAAUUUUGAAAUAGUUUGAUCAUAAAGUAAACUAUGUCGAAAAAAUAUAUAAUUUUAUUUCUAAAAACUUUAAAUACCCUACAUCAGUUUUAACGAUGUGGAUCGUUGAUUUGAAUAGCCUAAGAUCGAAAGCGAGACUAUAGUACCGGAGCCUCGGUACUAUAGAUAGUAUAAGAGACUAGCUCUCUCUAUAUAUAUAAGUGAGGCUACUAUGCUUCUGGAAGCACAGAGCCUUCCGUGCUUCCAGAUCGUUUUCGAUAUUGCGACUUUCGAAUCGUCGAUUGGCUCCGUUAAACUUAAUCUAGAGUAUUUGAAGUACCUAGAAAAUAAAUUUUGUAAUUUUUCGAUAUCAUNACGAACUCUAUAUGCCGUACAAUAGUAUACAUGCAUGUAUACGUACGUACGUAGCACUACUACAAUACAAGGUGAAGGUGCUUAUUAUUUCGUGCUAAAUACAAAAUAGUCUCUAAUACAUGCAUAUAUCUUUCUUACUUUACUCAUGGCCCCCACCAGAACCAUAUCCAGACCCAUAUCCGGAUCCGUAACCCGAACCUCCAUGAGACCCAUAACCCGA